Molecule: long non-coding RNA, 603 nt
Filed under: Homo sapiens (human)
Lineage: Eukaryota; Metazoa; Chordata; Mammalia; Primates; Hominidae
Description: HSALNT0250880
Source: RNAcentral
UUUUUUCUCUUCCUUUCUGCCUUCCUCUCUGUUUUGGUUUGUGGAUCAGCUUCAUCCUCUUUUCCUGUAAAUCAGCUGUCUUUACUUCUUGCAUUUUUAGAAGAUGGCCCCUCUCCCACAAUUCAUAUGACGUGCCCAACAGAGACUAACUGGGGAGAAUUUUCAGAGGAGUGAGGGGUGCAGGCUGGGCACAUGCAGUAAGCAUCAUCUGCUUUUCUUUGCCUUAACUGCUCUGUGCAGACCCAUGUUACCCUACACUUGAAGAUGAACUGUACCCCGCCCUUACAUCCCAUUACAGACAGUAAUGAUGAUGAUGGUAUAUACCCAUUUUAAUAUAGUGGUUAUUCCAUGCCUGGUUCUGGUCUAAGCAUUUUUUCUAUACUUAUUUAAUUCUCACAAUUUUUUCAAGAAAUUGAAGCACAGAGAGGUUAACCUGACCUAAAUCACACAGCUUGAGAUUUGAAAAGCUAAGAUUUUUAAUCUUAGACAUGUAGCUUUUAGAGUCUGGGCUUUUCAGAGCCCGGGCUACACUACUUUGUUCUGGUACCUUGGGGUCUAGGUGGAGCUUCUAGCCAUCAUCCUGCGAUUGCUCCUAAAUUAAAU